RNAcentral lists this ribosomal RNA (492 nucleotides) under uncultured bacterium. RNAcentral's name for it is "partial 16S ribosomal RNA". It matches the Rfam family "Bacterial small subunit ribosomal RNA", at positions 29 to 507 of the family's 1533-position model. The record is from RNAcentral.
AGUGAACGCUGGCGGUAGGCCUAACACAUGCAAGUCGAGCGGCAGCACAGUAAGAGCUUGCUCUUACGGGUGGCGAGUGGCGGACGGGUGAGGAAUACAUCGGAAUCUACUUUUUCGUGGGGGAUAACGUAGGGAAACUUACGCUAAUACCGCAUACGACCUACGGGUGAAAGCAGGGGAUCUUCGGACCUUGCGCGAUUGAAUGAGCCGAUGUCGGAUUAGCUAGUUGGCGGGGUAAAGGCCCACCAAGGCGACGAUCCGUAGCUGGUCUGAGAGGAUGAUCAGCCACACUGGAACUGAGACACGGUCCAGACCCCUACGGGAGGCAGCAGUGGGGAAUAUUGGACAAUGGGCGCAAGCCUGAUCCAGCCAUACCGCGUGGGUGAAGAAGGCCUUCGGGUUGUAAAGCCCUUUUGUUGGGAAAGAAAAGCAGCAGGUUAAUACCCCGCUGUUCUGACGGUACCCAAAGAAUAAGCACCGGCUAACUUCGUG